This 69-nucleotide transfer RNA is filed under the name Panthera tigris altaica (Amur tiger). RNAcentral describes it as "tRNA-Asp". The record is from RNAcentral. Lineage: Eukaryota; Metazoa; Chordata; Mammalia; Carnivora; Felidae.
GAAGUAUUAGUAAAACAAUUACAUAACUUUGUCAAGGUUAAAUUAUAGGCUUAAGCCCUAUGUACUUCC